UUCAUGGAGAGUUUGAUCCUGGCUCAGGACGAACGCUGGCGGCGUGCCUAAUACAUGCAAGUCGAGCGCAGGAAACUGACGGAACUCUUCGGAGGGAAGGCAGUGGAAUGAGCGGCGGACGGGUGAGUAACACGUAAGGAACCUGCCUCAAGGAUUGGGAUAACUCCGAGAAAUCGGAGCUAAUACCGGAUAGUUCAACGGACCGCAUGGUCCGCUGAUGAAAGGCGCUCCGGCGUCACCUUGAGAUGGCCUUGCGGUGCAUUAGCUAGUUGGUGGGGUAACGGCCCACCAAGGCGACGAUGCAUAGCCGACCUGAGAGGGUGAUCGGCCACACUGGGACUGAGACACGGCCCAGACUCCUACGGGAGGCAGCAGUAGGGAAUCUUCCACAAUGGACGAAAGUCUGAUGGAGCAACGCCGCGUGAGUGAUGAAGGUUUUCGGAUCGUAAAACUCUGUUGUAA
This 462-nucleotide ribosomal RNA is filed under the name Salmonella enterica subsp. enterica serovar Enteritidis str. P125109. RNAcentral describes it as "bacterial SSU rRNA". It matches the Rfam family "Bacterial small subunit ribosomal RNA", at positions 1 to 441 of the family's 1533-position model. Lineage: Bacteria; Pseudomonadati; Pseudomonadota; Gammaproteobacteria; Enterobacterales; Enterobacteriaceae. The record is from RNAcentral.